Acanthopagrus latus (yellowfin seabream) is the source of this 2017-nucleotide long non-coding RNA. RefSeq lists it as uncharacterized. The transcript is spliced from 2 exons. The record is from RefSeq and is a predicted model, not a curated record. NCBI's taxonomy places the organism in Eukaryota, Metazoa, Chordata, Actinopteri, Spariformes, Sparidae.
GAUCUGUGUGCAGAUGGAAAGCAUGUCAUAGUGCAGUAUGUUGCAAAAGAAAUGAAAAUGUUGGAUAUUUCAGGAGAAAUGAAGAGAGAUCAUGGUACUGUGGAAAGAUUUGUGUGAUAAAGGCGUAUUAAGGAAAGUGACUCAUCGUUUUAAGAGAGCAGCUGUGAAAAAAGCCACAGAUGAGCAGCAAACAGGUAUUAGAAGCUGCUGGUGCCUCAACGCUGGAUCCUCCAGAGGCUUGCUGAUGUGCAUACAGCUGUAUUUCAUCCACCCUGAACCGAUGCCCACAAGGAGGAACGAUCACAGUGGGCUCAGAAACACAUGAAACUACUUUUUCCAACAGUUGUAUUCACUGACGACUGCCGUGCUUCCCUGGAUGGUGCAGAUGGACGGAGUUCACUGAUGUCCCAACAAGGCUGCGACGUCAGCAGGGAGGGGCUGGAGUCUUUGUUCUGGACUGGAAUCAUGGAAGGUGUCAGAAUGACCUCUGCAGAAUAUAUGUGGAGUUCCUAACUGCCCAUUUCCUGCUGAUGGUAAAAUAAUUUUCAUAGAAGAUAAAGAACCGUCCUGCGCUGCAAAACAUGCCGCUGAGGUCUUUACUGCUGUGAGCAUGAAGCGAGAAACAAUCAUGGUGUGGCCUCCAUCAUCCCCAGACCUCCAUCACCCCUAGACCUCUAUCAUCCCCAGACCUCCAUCACCCCUAGACCUCUAUCAUCCCCAGACCUCCAUCACCCCUAGACCUCUAUCAUCCCCAGACCUCCAUCACCCCUAGACCUCCAUCAUCCCCAGACCUCCACCAUCCCCUGACCUCCAUCAUCCCCAGACCUCCAUCAUCCCCAGACCUGCUUCAUCCCCAGACCUGCUUCAUCCCCAGACCUCUAUCAUCACCAGACCUCCAUCAUCCCCAGACCUCCUUCAUCCCCAGACCUCUAUCAUCUCCAGACCUCCAUCAUCUCCAGACCUCUAUCAUCUCCAGACCUCCAUCAUCCCCAGACCUCCAUCAUCACCAGACCUCCUUCAUCCCCAGACCUCCAUCAUCCCCAGACCUCCACCAUCCCCAGACCUCCAUCAUCCCCAGACCUGCUUCAUCCCCAGACCUGCUUCAUCCCCAGACCUCCAUCAUCCCCAGACCUUCUUCAUCCCCAGACCUCCAUCAUCCCCAGACCUCUAUCAUCCCCAGACCUCCUUCAUCCCCAGACCUCCAUCAUCACCAGACCUCUAUCAUCUCCAGACCUCCACCCUACAGACAACCUAUGAAGCAUCUUUAAAAGAAGCUCCAUGAGGGAAACUGGAGCAGAAAAGACUUUUAUUCUCCAUAAUCAAGGUCAGGAGCGUUUUUCAAUAACCUUUGGGAAUUAAAGCCUGGAGCUGCGCCAGAUCGUCCUGCCAAUCAUCCCCACAGCCGGCUGAAUAAUACACAAGUUGUUGACCUUUUGCACCUCUGCAGAUCGAUACUCUGCAGCUUUAUUUUAUUAAAAAAUAAUUUAAAAUAAAGAGAGAGUUGACGCGAUUAUCUAUUAAUAUGUGUGUUUGGGUUUGGAUUCCCUCUCGGCGUGAUAAAUAGUUUGGAAUAACAGAUGGUGCUGCAGGAGACAAAGCGGGGAUCUGGUAGCAAUUAUCCUCAAUUAUGUUCAUUGUUAUUUUGAGCUAAUUAUUGUUAUUGUCGCUUUUGUUUGUGCGUCUUGCGGCGCGAGCCUGCAAUAAGGAGGCCGGCGGAGGACAAUGAGGAGCGGAGAGAUGUUGUGGCUUCUCUAUCCGAGCCGGACCGGUUCGUCUAAAUUAAACCUGCGUGGAGAAGUUCAGGCUUCAGAUCAGAAUCACAGAGUGUCUGCAGAACACCAGCUGAGCUUCCGCUGUGGGAUCAGAUCGGCCUGAUCGAUUUCUUCUUCGUUCCAUCAUUAUAGAAUAAGAAAUAUUAUUGUGUUAAAGUUCCAAUCAGAUCCUCCAAAACUAAAUUAUUCGUGUUUCGUUUUUUUCCUUUUUGUAUUUUUAUAAUAAAAGCACAUGUUGGAGAUCA